UAUUUCUGAAUUUUGUAGGAA
RNAcentral lists this non-coding RNA (21 nucleotides) under Caenorhabditis elegans. The record is from RNAcentral. Lineage: Eukaryota; Metazoa; Nematoda; Chromadorea; Rhabditida; Rhabditidae.